Molecule: ribosomal RNA, 497 nt
Filed under: uncultured bacterium
Lineage: Bacteria
Description: partial 16S ribosomal RNA
Rfam family: Bacterial small subunit ribosomal RNA
Source: RNAcentral
GAUGAACGCUGGCGGCGUGCCUAAUACAUGCAAGUAGAACGCUGAAGGAAGGAGCUUGCUCUUUCCGGAGGAGUUGCGAACGGGCGAGUAAGGCGUAGGUAACCUGCCUGGUAGCGGGGGAUAAUUAUUGGAAACGAUAGCUAAUACCGCAUAAUAGUAGAUGUUGCAUGAUAUCUACUUAAAAGGUGCAAUUGCACCACUACCAGAUGGACCUGAGUUGUAUUAGGUAGGUGGUGAGGUAACGGCUCACCAAGGCAACGAUACCUAGGCGGCCUGGGAGGGAGGACGGGCCAACUGGGAACGGGACACCGCCCAGGACCCUUAGGGGGGGAGCAGUAGGGGAACUUUGGCAAAGGGGGGAAAGCUGGCCGAACACCGCCGGGUGGGGGGAGGAAGUUUUCGGGUUGUAAAGCUCUGUUGUAAGAGAAGAACGAGUGUGAGGGUAGAAAGUUCACGCUGUGACGGUAUCUAACCAGAAAGCAACGGCUAACUACGUG